AUAAUGUAGGCAACAACACAAGUUAGAAGUCUUGAUUAGUGAACCAAGUUCCAACAACUUGCCAUGCCAAAAAGAAGAAGAGAAUUGAUCUUGUAUUGGUUUAAGCCAUUUGCAUGAUUUAGAAGACAACAUAUCCUUAAUGCAAAGCCAUUCACUUGAUCAAUUGAUCAAGAUGAAUUAGAUUUGAAUCAAGGAAUGUUAAAUAUCCCUAAUCAAUGCUAACUUGUCA
Molecule: long non-coding RNA, 229 nt
Filed under: Lathyrus oleraceus (garden pea)
Lineage: Eukaryota; Viridiplantae; Streptophyta; Magnoliopsida; Fabales; Fabaceae
Description: Pisum sativum (pea) long non-coding RNA (PSAT_LNC017589)
Source: RNAcentral